CAAAAGAGUCCAGCGGAGACAAAGAAAGAAGCCAUUUUUACGGUAUUUUCGCUUCCAGUCCGGAUCCAUCCUAAACCAAAGAGCGGGGCUAAGCGAGGGGCAUAGCGAUACAGUGUUCAUACUCGAGUUGCUCAAAUCCAGUAGGAAUAUCAGGAAUAGUAGGAUCUAGUAGGAGCUUGCCUUGGAAUGCAGUGAGGGAGCCCGGAGCUAUUGAAUUAUUUCAUAACCCAAGGAGAAGAAUAGGACUCUUUACCAGUAUCAUAACCUCUCGAUGGGAAAUGGAACUUAGAUCACGAUGUGAACCUACUUAUGAGUGGAAUUUCGUUGACAAGCAAAUUCCCCGGGAAAACUCACUUUUCUCCAAUUGAGAUGCUUUCUUCAUUUAUGGAUUCUAUGCGAGAUUCGGUUAGUGUGAAGUGUGAUCCUGGCUCAGAAGGAAAAGCUAUAUGCUUAACACAUAGAGUUCGAUGUAGGUAAGGAUGUGCUCCAAAGUUUUCAAUUCCACCUUAUCAACCUGAAAAGAGCUAAUACGGGCUUAGCCUGCCUUUUAUCUUAUCCUUCUAUUCUAGGCGAGGAGGGAAAUUGAGAAUAAAUAGCCCCAGAAAAAACUACAAACUAGUCAAAGGACAACCUGCCU
This 637-nucleotide long non-coding RNA is filed under the name Nicotiana benthamiana. RNAcentral describes it as "long non-coding RNA (NBEN_LNC032255)". The record is from RNAcentral. Lineage: Eukaryota; Viridiplantae; Streptophyta; Magnoliopsida; Solanales; Solanaceae.